Long non-coding RNA from Daphnia pulicaria, 351 nucleotides. RefSeq lists it as uncharacterized. The transcript has 3 exons. The record is from RefSeq and is a predicted model, not a curated record. NCBI's taxonomy places the organism in Eukaryota, Metazoa, Arthropoda, Branchiopoda, Diplostraca, Daphniidae.
UAGAAUGAAGGCUCGAAAUAUUGAUGAGACAAGGUGUCAACUGUUCUCUCGCCAGCCUUUAGCGUCGUUAUCAACAUUAAACCUCUUAGCGCAUCUCCUCUGCCGAGUUAGUUAAAGGCAGUAGCCAACGUUCGAGUACUACGGCGUACGAGAAUGUCCCACGUCUUACGAUGAUAACAGAUCUGACAUCCCCAACGAAUUUAUCUCAGGUGAAAAGCUCCAACGACGCAUCCGCACGAUCCGGGCAACUUGAAUUUUUCAAUGGCGAAAGGGAAAGUGUAGUCUUUUGGGUUGUAGACCAAGAAGCGAUGGAAAAUAUUUUUCUGGACGCACUUGGACUCGUAGCAGGAC